This 596-nucleotide unclassified non-coding RNA is filed under the name Hevea brasiliensis (rubber tree). Lineage: Eukaryota; Viridiplantae; Streptophyta; Magnoliopsida; Malpighiales; Euphorbiaceae. The record is from RNAcentral.
AAUAAAAUUAAAGUUUAGUGACUUGAUUGUAAUAAAAUGUUAUUUUUUAACCACAAUAGAAAUUAGUGAUUAGUUUAGUGGUGACCAUUGGUGCCAUUUACCUCUAAAGUUCAGUCCUAGUCCAUAGUAUUUUGGAUGAAGGUUUGAUUUUGUUUGACAUUAUUAGAACUGCUGUUGAGAAAAACACCAUGUUAAACAUGCUGAUUAGAGGCCAUUAAAAAUUGUCCUUAGAAGAGAAUUGACACUCGAAAAUGUGUAAAUAGCAGUUUCAAACUGUUUUUACAUCUUCCAAAAGGGUGCUUUUUGAAAAAGUAGGUUUCAACCCCAAUGCCAAAUAGAAGUCCUUAGAAUGCUUCAUUUUGAAUCUUAUCAGACUUCCAAAUUAUCAUAUUGAAGGUCAUAUAGGUUGCAAUAUCUGUUUAGUAAUUGAUUGAUGGAUGUUGCAAUAUCUGUUUAGUAAAUUUAUUGAUGGGCAGUUUCGUGUAUUAGCUGGGGGUUUGGAUUGGAAAUUGCAAACAUUCAAAUUGUUUAGAUCAUUUGGAUGCUUUGCAUGUUAACCAUUUAGUCAGUCUUGUUUUCCUUUAUUUCUUUGUUCA